UUAAUUUAGUUUUGGGGUUCUACCCAAAACCCAACCUCCAUGAUAUAAACAAAUAUAUAGCAUCACCUACCUGUUCUCUGCAAAUAGCUUGAAGCCAAAAUGGUACGGAGCUUAUACCCGCAUCCCGAUGUUGUUUUAUACGAAGGCCCAAAACGGCCUAGUAUCGUUGAGACAAUUGAAGAAGUUGUCGCAAAUGUGGUCGGUAUCUUGAGGUUUAUCAUCGACGAGUAUUUGAUGUAUCAAGAGGACAAUACAGGAAACGAUUUAGAUGAGGAUUCAAACCGUCUUCGAAUAAGGAAAUUAGAAGGGGAACAUAUUCAAGAAACUCUUAGGCGCAUCUUCUUCUCUCCAUUAACAAGGAAAAUGAUAUUUAUCUUAUCAUGUGUUGCAGUGUCAAUAGAUCCUCUCUUCUUUUACAUUCCAAUCAUCAAUGAGGAGAAAAAGUGUCUUGGAAUAGACAAAAAUUUGAGGGCUGCAGCUCUUUGUUUGCGAGCACUUCCUGAUGCCGCUUUUGUACUGCAUACUAUAAGUUCUGGGUUUAGGUUGUACCCGAACGUGGACCUCUACUUCGUAGAUUUGCUUUACUACAGCUUUGUGAGUUUACUAGUUGCCGUUUUCCUUAUCCUUCCCAUCCCACAGUUGGCAAUAGUAGUUUUCUUUUUCAAGUCAGGAGGCUCUGGACAUUUCGGCCAAAGAGUGACCGUGAACAUCUUCCUUUUUAUCUAUUAUGUGGCAAGGGUUUUCCUAAUCUUCAUAUAUAGUCAGAAUCUCAAAUACAAGACCGGAAAAUGGGUUCGAGCUUCAUUCAAUUUUCUUUUAUACAUCAUUGCCAGUAAUGUAGUUGGAGGCUUUUGGUACUUCUUUUCUAUUCAACGAGAGAUAUCAUGUUGGGACCAAUCUUGUAGAAAUGGUAUAGGAUGUGGUGGACCUACUUAUUAUUGCAGUGGCAGCACUUCACGAGAUAUCACAUUCCUAAAUGAGUUAUGCCCUAUAAAUCCACAGAAUACUACAAUAUUUAAUUUUGGAAUAUUUUUUGAUGCUAUUCAAUCUGGAAGCACGAGGUCAAUACAUUUUCCAACCAAGUUCUUUUACUGUAUAUGGUGGGGCGUCAAAAAUCUAAGGUUUGCAUAUAUGCCUGUUAAGCUAUUGGCAAUUCAUUCAGAAAUAGAUCCUUGCAACUCUGAUAAUAGUCUACACAAAAACUCAUCUACUUCCACUUCUUGAUUAUAAUCUUAUAUUUUAAAUGCUUGAUUGAUUAUUGCUGUGACUUCGGCACGAAUCUGGAAACAAGUAGCUAUGUGUGGGAAAACUGCUUUGCAGUUAUAACUUCUAUCAUUGGCAUGCUACUAUUUUUUUACCUCCUUGGAAACGUACAGAUAUAUAUGCAGCAGGCAAUGAAUAAAUCGUUGGCUGACGAGGAUAAAGCUGAGGACUUAAGACCCAAGAUAGUUGAGAGAAAUAGGGCUAUAAAAAUGUGGAUGGAAAAAUUUGCCCUGCCUGAUGAUUUGAAGAAAACUAUUAUGGGUUUAAUAAGUCGAAAUUUGGAAGGAAAGUUAGAUGGUAAAGGAACUUCAAACUAUGGGAAAGGAAGAGUUGGAAACGAUCUCCGAGGAUCUGCAGCCAAAGAUCUUCCAGGAGAAUG
Molecule: non-coding RNA, 1642 nt
Organism: Prunus avium (sweet cherry)
Lineage: Eukaryota; Viridiplantae; Streptophyta; Magnoliopsida; Rosales; Rosaceae
Source: RefSeq, a predicted model, not a curated record